RNAcentral lists this ribosomal RNA (407 nucleotides) under fungal sp. Its description in RNAcentral is "SSU rRNA". It matches the Rfam family "Eukaryotic small subunit ribosomal RNA", at positions 533 to 946 of the family's 1831-position model. The record is from RNAcentral. Lineage: Eukaryota; Fungi.
CUUAACGAGGAACAAUUGGAGGGCAAGUCUGGUGCCAGCAGCCGCGGUAAUUCCAGCUCCAAUAGCGUAUAUUAAAGUUGUUGCAGUUAAAAAGCUCGUAGUUGAACUUUGGGCCCGGUUGGCCGGUCCGAUUUUUUCGUGUACUGGAUUUCCAACGGGGCCUUUCCUUCUGGCUAACCUUGAGUCCUUGUGGCUCUUGGCGAACCNGGACUUUUACUUUGAAAAAAUUAGAGUGUUCAAAGCAGGCGUAUUGCUCGAAUAUAUUAGCAUGGAAUAAUAGAAUAGGACGUUUGGUUCUAUUUUGUUGGUUUCUAGGACCAUCGUAAUGAUUAAUAGGGACGGUCGGGGGCAUCAGUAUUCAAUUGUCAGAGGUGAAAUUCUUGGAUUUAUUGAAGACUAACUACUGC